This 1371-nucleotide ribosomal RNA is filed under the name uncultured prokaryote. RNAcentral describes it as "partial 16S ribosomal RNA". It matches the Rfam family "Bacterial small subunit ribosomal RNA". The record is from RNAcentral.
AAGCUUGCUUCCGCUGACGACCGGCGAACGGGUGCGUAACGCGUAUGCAACUUACCCUUAACAAAAGGAUAGCCCCGAGAAAUCGGGAUUAAUACUCCAUAGUAUCUCCACCUCACAUGUGGAGGAGAUUAAAGUUUCGGCGGUUGAGGAUAGGUAUGCGACCUAUUAGUUUGUUGGUGAGGUAACGGCUCACCAAGACUACGAUAGGUAGGGGGUCUGAGAGGAUGAUCCCCCACACUGGUACUGAGACACGGACCAGACUCCUACGGGAGGCAGCAGUGAGGAAUAUUGGUCAAUGGACGCAAGUCUGAACCAGCCAUGCCGCGUGCAGGAAGACGGCCCUACGGGUUGUAAACUGCUUUUAUAUGGGAAUAAACCCCCCGACGUGUUGGGGGCUGAAGGUACCAUACGAAUAAGGAUCGGCUAACUCCGUGCCAGCAGCCGCGGUAAUACGGAGGGUGCAAGCGUUAUCCGGAUUCAUUGGGUUUAAAGGGUUCGUAGGUGGAAUACUCAGUCAGUGGUGAAAUCCUACAGCUUAACUGUAGAACUGCCAUUGAUACUGGUAUUCUUGAGUAUAGUUGAGGUGAGCGGAAUGUGACAUGUAGCGGUGAAAUGCAUAGAUAUCACACAGAACACCGAUUGCGAAGGCAGCUCACUAAGCUAUUAUUGACGCUAAGGCACGAAAGCGUGGGGAGCGAACAGGAUUAGAUACCCUGGUAGUCCACGCCGUAAACGAUGAUCACUCGUUGUUGGCGAUACACUGUCAGCGACCAAGCGAAAGCAUUAAGUGAUCCACCUGGGGAGUACGAUCGCAAGGUUGAAACUCAAAGGAAUUGACGGGGGCCCGCACAAGCGGUGGAGCAUGUGGUUUAAUUCGAUGAUACGCGAGGAACCUUACCUGGGCUUAAAUGUAGAUUGACAGAUUGGGAAACCAGUCCUUCUUCGGACAAUUUACAAGGUGCUGCAUGGUUGUCGUCAGCUCGUGCCGUGAGGUGUCGGGUUAAGUCCCAUAACGAGCGCAACCCCUAUUCUUAGUUGCCAGCGGUUCGGCCGGGGACUCUAAGAAAACUGCCCGCGCAAGCGGUGAGGAAGGUGGGGAUGACGUCAAAUCAUCACGGCCCUUACGUCUUGGGCUACACACGUGCUACAAUGGUAGUGACAAUGGGCAGCCACUCCGCGAGGAGGCGCAAAUCCACAAACACUAUCUCAGUUCGGAUCGGAGUCUGCAACUCGACUCCAUGAAGCUGGAAUCGCUAGUAAUCGCGCAUCAGCCAUGGCGCGGUGAAUACGUUCCCGGGCCUUGUACACACCGCCCGUCAAGCCAUGGAAGCCGGGGGUACCUGAAGUCGGUCACCGAAAGGAGCUGCCUAG